Molecule: ribosomal RNA, 507 nt
Filed under: uncultured bacterium
Lineage: Bacteria
Description: bacterial SSU rRNA
Rfam family: Bacterial small subunit ribosomal RNA
Source: RNAcentral
CUGGCUCAGGAUGAACGCUAGCGACAGGCUUAACACAUGCAAGUCGAGGGGCAGCAUAGAAGUAGCAAUACUUGGUGGCGACCGGCGCACGGGUGAGUAACGCGUAUGCAACCUACCUAUCAGAGGGGAAUAACCCGGCGAAAGUCGGACUAAUACCGCAUAAAACAGGGGCACCGCAUGGUGAUAUUUGUUAAAGAAAUUCGCUGAUAGAUGGGCAUGCGUUCCAUUAGGUAGUUGGUGAGGUAACGGCUCACCAAGCCGACGAUGGAUAGGGGAACUGAGAGGUUGGUCCCCCACACUGGUACUGAGACACGGACCAGACUCCUACGGGAGGCAGCAGUGAGGAAUAUUGGUCAAUGGGCGGGAGCCUGAACCAGCCAAGUCGCGUGAAGGAAAGAAGGAUCUAUGGUUCGUAAACUUCUUUUGCAGGGGAAUAAAGUGCAGGACGUGUCCUGUUUUAUAUGUACCCUGAGAAUAAGGAUCGGCUAACUCCGUGCCAGCAGCUGC